Molecule: ribosomal RNA, 440 nt
Filed under: uncultured bacterium
Lineage: Bacteria
Description: bacterial SSU rRNA
Rfam family: Bacterial small subunit ribosomal RNA
Source: RNAcentral
CUACGGGAGGCAGCAGUGGGGAAUAUUGGACAAUGGGCGAAAGCCUGAUCCAGCAAUGCCGCGUGAGUGAAGAAGGCCUUAGGGUUGUAAAGCUCUUUCGCCUGCGACGAUGAUGACGGUAGCAGGAGAAGAAGCCCCGGCUAAUUCCGUGCCAGCAGCCGCGGUAAUACGGAAGGGGCUAGCGUUGUUCGGAAUCACUGGGCGUAAAGCGCGCGUAGGCGGCUUGGCAAGUGAGGCGUGAAAGUCCUGGGCUCAACCUGGGGACUGCGCUUCAGACUGCUUGGCUUGAGUCCGGAAGAGGGUGGUGGAAUUCCGAGUGUAGAGGUGAAAUUCGUAGAUAUUCGGAGGAACACCGGCGGCGAAGGCGGCCACCUGGUCCGGAACUGACGCUCAAGUGCGAAAGCGUGGGGAGCAAACAGGAUUAGAAACCCCAGUAGUCC